UACGGAGGGUGCAAGCGUUGCUCGGAAUCAUUGGGCGUAAAGAGCUCGUAGGCGGUGGCAUAAGCCAGAUGUGAAAUCCCAGGGCUCAACCCUGGAACUGCAUUUGGAACUGUGUCACUUGAGUCUUGGAGAGGAAAGUGGAAUUCCCGGUGUAGAGGUGAAAUUCGUAGAUAUCGGGAGGAACAUCAGUGGCGAAGGCGACUUUCUGGACAAUGACUGACGCUAAAGAGCGAAAGCGUGGGGAGCAAACAGG
This 253-nucleotide ribosomal RNA is filed under the name uncultured bacterium. Its description in RNAcentral is "partial 16S ribosomal RNA". It matches the Rfam family "Bacterial small subunit ribosomal RNA", at positions 524 to 776 of the family's 1533-position model. The record is from RNAcentral.